CCUAAGCCUUUAACACAUGACCCUCUGGGAGACAUCCGGGAACCAGGCUGUAAUGCUGUCUUUCCUUUUAUAGAAAGGUACUCAUACAAUUAAAGGGAGAGCAAGGAUCAAAAAAGGCAGGGAAAGCAUCUCCGAAGGCCCGAAAUGCUGACAAUGUCCGUGUAUUUCAAGUGCCUCUGUCUCUCCAAGUGAUAUCUCCACCAUGUACCACACAGCAAGAAGGCCCUUGCCAG
This is a long non-coding RNA of Fukomys damarensis (Damara mole-rat), 233 nucleotides long. RefSeq lists it as uncharacterized. The transcript is spliced from 3 exons. Lineage: Eukaryota; Metazoa; Chordata; Mammalia; Rodentia; Bathyergidae. The record is from RefSeq and is a predicted model, not a curated record.